This is a long non-coding RNA of Brassica napus (rape), 462 nucleotides long. RefSeq lists it as uncharacterized. The transcript has 2 exons. Lineage: Eukaryota; Viridiplantae; Streptophyta; Magnoliopsida; Brassicales; Brassicaceae. The record is from RefSeq and is a predicted model, not a curated record.
AGUAUGAAUGCAGCAUAUGACAAGUUGUUUGGUCGGGUGUUUAAGAGAAGUUCAGAACUGGUGUUUACCAUCGAUAUCUGAAGGAUACCAUCAAAGUUCGUUUCAUGGCUCUUAAGCUUCAGAUUAUAUGUUAUCUGACCAUCUCUGUAGAAACAAAUAGUUUGUAUUAAGCUACAUAAGAUGUCUCUCUUCUGCACUUAGCCAUUAAGUUGAUCCAUUUGGACUACAAGUCUGCGUGUUGGAGACAAAGGAUUUCAAUUUCAUAGGGAAUUUGAUAUUGUGAGAUUGAGGCAGUGUCUCUUGAGCUUUAUGAAUGGGAUCCGAAAUUAACCGAAUGCUGGAGUUGAUCUGUAUUUUGUUUCUCAAUAUCUAAAAACAAAACUGUAGAAGCAAAGUCAUGAGAAGCCUUGCAAUCUGGUGUUUGGAGUUUAUUUAUUAAUUUAUAAUAAUCAUUUUGAGAUA